UACGUAGGGUGCGAGCGUUAAUCGGAAUUACUGGGCGUAAAGCGUGCGCAGGCGGUUUUGUAAGCCAGAUGUGAAAUCCCCGGGCUUAGCCUGGGAAUGGCAUUUGGGACUGCAAGGCUUGAGUGCGGCAGAGGGGGAUGGAAUUCCGCGUGUAGCAGUGAAAUGCGCAGAUAUCGGGAGGAACACCAAUGGCGAAGGCAGCUCGCUGGGACGGUACUGACGCUGAGACGCGAAAGCGUGGGGAGCAAACAGG
This 253-nucleotide ribosomal RNA is filed under the name uncultured bacterium. RNAcentral's name for it is "partial 16S ribosomal RNA". It matches the Rfam family "Bacterial small subunit ribosomal RNA", at positions 524 to 776 of the family's 1533-position model. The record is from RNAcentral.